This is a long non-coding RNA of Armigeres subalbatus, 411 nucleotides long. RefSeq lists it as uncharacterized. The record is from RefSeq and is a predicted model, not a curated record. The transcript has 3 exons. Lineage: Eukaryota; Metazoa; Arthropoda; Insecta; Diptera; Culicidae.
CCGCCAACCGCCAACCGCCAUUCAAGUUUUUUCUCGAAGCAGCGGCGAUGUGAAGAAAAGAAAAUGUGAAUGCUGAAACAAAAAAAGCGGAUCAGAAUGCAUAAAAAUACAACCUCAUAAAAGAAAAAUGAUAUACGCCAUUACACUAGGGAAACUAAAUCACGUAAAAUGUUUGCGAAGGAAAUAUACAAAGAGUCACUGAUGGGAGAGCCUCGGGGAGAGCAGCAUAUUCUCUGGUCCAGACAUGGACAUGGACAAAAAUUCUACAUCACACAAAAAAUGCAUCAGAGGUUGCAAUUGCAUCAACAAGAACUUGUCAUAUGGAGAAAAUUUAAAAAAAAUGUGAUUGACUACAACUCAGUGAUAGAAAACUAUAAUAACUAUAAAAGAUGUGAAAUAAAAUACUAUUAA